Molecule: ribosomal RNA, 460 nt
Filed under: uncultured bacterium
Lineage: Bacteria
Description: partial 16S ribosomal RNA
Rfam family: Bacterial small subunit ribosomal RNA
Source: RNAcentral
CCUACGGGAGGCAGCAGUGAGGAAUAUUGGUCAAUGGCCGUAAGGCUGAACCAGCCAAGUCGCGUGAAGGACGACGGCUCUAUGGGUUGUAAACUUCUUUUAUAGGGGAAUAAAGGUAUCCACGUGUGGAUAUUUGCAUGUACCCUAUGAAUAAGCAUCGGCUAACUCCGUGCCAGCAGCCGCGGUAAUACGGAGGAUGCGAGCGUUAUCCGGAUUUAUCGGGUUUAAAGGGUGCGUAGGUUGUUUUUUAAGUCAGCGGUGAAAGUUUGUGGCUCAACCAUAAAAUUGCCGUUGAUACUGGAAGACUUGAGUGUGUUUGAGGUAGGCGGAAUGCGUGGUGUAGCGGUGAAAUGCAUAGAUAUCACGCAGAACUCCGAUUGCGAAGGCAGCUUACUAAGCCAUAACUGACACUGAAGCACGAAAGCGUGGGGAUCAAACAGGAUUAGAUACCCUAGUAGUC